Molecule: transfer RNA, 56 nt
Filed under: Camelus bactrianus (Bactrian camel)
Lineage: Eukaryota; Metazoa; Chordata; Mammalia; Artiodactyla; Camelidae
Also listed under: 2 other names
Rfam family: tRNA
About the family: Transfer RNA (tRNA) molecules are approximately 80 nucleotides in length.
Source: Rfam by way of RNAcentral
AGCUCAGUGGUAGAGCAUGUGCUUAGCAUGCACAAGGUCCUGGGUUCAAUCCCCAG